Molecule: ribosomal RNA, 562 nt
Filed under: Neonectria sp. C_BESC_184f
Lineage: Eukaryota; Fungi; Ascomycota; Sordariomycetes; Hypocreales; Nectriaceae
Description: eukaryotic LSU rRNA
Rfam family: Eukaryotic large subunit ribosomal RNA
Source: RNAcentral
ACCUCGGAUCAGGUAGGAAUACCCGCUGAACUUAAGCAUAUCAAUAAGCGGAGGAAAAGAAACCAACAGGGAUUGCCCUAGUAACGGCGAGUGAAGCGGCAACAGCUCAAAUUUGAAAUCUGGCCUUCGGGUCCGAGUUGUAAUUUGUAGAGGAUGCUUUUGGUGAGGUACCUUCCGAGUUCCCUGGAACGGGACGCCAUAGAGGGUGAGAGCCCCGUCUGGUUGGAUACCGAUCCUCUGUAAAGCUCCUUCGACGAGUCGAGUAGUUUGGGAAUGCUGCUCUAAAUGGGAGGUAUAUGUCUUCUAAAGCUAAAUAUUGGCCAGAGACCGAUAGCGCACAAGUAGAGUGAUCGAAAGAUGAAAAGCACUUUGAAAAGAGAGUUAAAAAGUACGUGAAAUUGUUGAAAGGGAAGCGCUCAUGACCAGACUUGGGCUUGGUUGAUCAUCCAGGGUUCUCCCUGGUGCACUCUUCCAGCCCAGGCCAGCAUCAGUUCGCUGUGGGGGAUAAAGGCUUCGGGAAUGUGGCUCCUCCGGGAGUGUUAUAGCCCGCUGCGUAAUACCC